UGAAUUAUAGCUUAAUCGGUUAGAGCUCUAAUUUGUCGAAUUAGAAGUAUGAGUUCAAAUCUCAUUUAUUCCG
RNAcentral lists this transfer RNA (73 nucleotides) under Phaeocystis rex. RNAcentral describes it as "tRNA-Asp". It matches the Rfam family "tRNA". Rfam says of the family: Transfer RNA (tRNA) molecules are approximately 80 nucleotides in length. The record is from RNAcentral. Lineage: Eukaryota; Haptophyta; Phaeocystales; Phaeocystaceae.